UGAGGAAUAUUGGUCAAUGGGCGAGAGCCUGAACCAGCCAAGUAGCGUGCAGGAUGACGGCCCUAUGGGUUGUAAACUGCUUUUAUGUGGGGAUAAAGUGAGGGACGUGUCCCUUUUUGUAGGUACCACAUGAAUAAGGACCGGCUAAUUCCGUGCCAGCAGCCGCGGUAAUACGGAAGGUCCGGGCGUUAUCCGGAUUUAUUGGGUUUAAAGGGAGCGUAGGCCGGACUUUAAGCGUGUUGUGAAAUGUAGAUGCUCAACAUCUGAAUUGCAGCGCGAACUGGAGUCCUUGAGUGUGCAGAAAGUUGGCGGAAUUCGUCGUGUAGCGGUGAAAUGCUUAGAUAUGACGAAGAACUCCGAUUGCGAAGGCAGCUGACUGUAGCAUUACUGACGCUGAUGCUCGAAGGUGCGGGUAUCGAACAGGAUUAGAUACCCUGGUA
This 440-nucleotide ribosomal RNA is filed under the name uncultured bacterium. RNAcentral describes it as "bacterial SSU rRNA". It matches the Rfam family "Bacterial small subunit ribosomal RNA", at positions 355 to 792 of the family's 1533-position model. The record is from RNAcentral.